RNAcentral lists this small nucleolar RNA (88 nucleotides) under Panthera tigris altaica (Amur tiger). The record is from RNAcentral. Lineage: Eukaryota; Metazoa; Chordata; Mammalia; Carnivora; Felidae.
UUGUUUUUUGAGUAACUUCUAUGCCCAACUUGGGGCUCGAACUCAUGACCCUGAGAUCAAGAGUUGCAUGCUCUACCAUCUGAGCCAG